GACGAACCGUGCGAACGUUAUUCGGAAUCACUGGGCUUAAAGCGCGUGUAGGCGGGACGGCACGUCGGUCGCUGAAAAGCCCCCCGGCUCAACCGGGGAACGGGCGCCGAUACGACCGCCCUGGAGGAACGUAGGGGGACCUGGAACUUCCGGUGGAGCGGUGAAAUGCGUUGAGAUCGGAAGGAACGCCCGUGGCGAAAGCGAGGUCCUGGACGUUUUACUGACGCUGAGACGCGAAAGCCAGGGGGAGCGAACGGG
This 258-nucleotide ribosomal RNA is filed under the name uncultured bacterium. RNAcentral's name for it is "partial 16S ribosomal RNA". It matches the Rfam family "Bacterial small subunit ribosomal RNA", at positions 524 to 776 of the family's 1533-position model. The record is from RNAcentral.